This 93-nucleotide ribosomal RNA is filed under the name uncultured bacterium. Its description in RNAcentral is "partial 16S ribosomal RNA". It matches the Rfam family "Bacterial small subunit ribosomal RNA", at positions 1390 to 1482 of the family's 1533-position model. The record is from RNAcentral.
CCGCCCGUCACAUCAUGGGAGUUGGUUUCACCCGAAGUCGCUGGCUCAACCGCAAGGGGAGAGGCGCCUAAGGUGAGGCUGAUGACUGGGAUG